CCUUUGUACACACCGCCCGUCGCUACUACCGAUUGAAUGGCUCAGUGAGGCUUUGGGAUUGGCUCAGGGAGGUCGGCAACGACCACCCAGAGCCGAAAACUUAGUCAAACUUGGUCAUUUAGAGG
This 125-nucleotide ribosomal RNA is filed under the name Aequabiliella effusa. RNAcentral's name for it is "partial small subunit ribosomal RNA". It matches the Rfam family "Eukaryotic small subunit ribosomal RNA", at positions 1657 to 1779 of the family's 1831-position model. The record is from RNAcentral. Lineage: Eukaryota; Fungi; Ascomycota; Eurotiomycetes; Phaeomoniellales; Phaeomoniellaceae.